Molecule: long non-coding RNA, 434 nt
Organism: Helianthus annuus (common sunflower)
Lineage: Eukaryota; Viridiplantae; Streptophyta; Magnoliopsida; Asterales; Asteraceae
Exons: 2
Source: RefSeq, a predicted model, not a curated record
UCCAUUCUCUCCAGACGCUCUCACACCCCACGUCCUCAUCCACUACGACCCACAUCCAGAUUCGAACUACUGAGCAUCGAAGAUCCAGAUCUGAAGAAUCAAGAUACGAAUAUUAAAGAUCGAGAUCUGAAAGUCGACGUUUCAAGUUUCAAAACAUGGAAGCUUUUUAUAUACGAUUUGGAAGCUGUUUAUGUACGAUUUGGAAGCUGUUUAGUGUUAAUGUUUGUUUAAAUCAUCGUAGCUGUUCUUUUUUUUUUCUUAUGGUUUUGUUCCCUAUAUUUGUUCCAACUUCCAACAGUAGAUUAAUUCACAAAUACCUUGUAUUUUGAUUCAAGAGUAAAGUUGCUCCAUAGAUUUAUUCACAAAUACUUUGUAUUUUGAUUUUUGGAAACAUAUUUGAUUCAGUUGAACUUUGAACAGAUCUUUUUAUUUGC